UACGGAGGGUGCGAGCGUUGUCCGGAAUCAUUGGGCGUAAAGGGCGCGUAGGUGGCCCGGUCAGUCCGUGGUGAAAGCGCGGGGCUCAACCCUGCGUCGGCCAUGGAUACUGCCGCGGCUCGAGCACUGUAGAGGCAGGCGGAAUUCCACGUGUAGCAGUGAAAUGCGUAGAGAUGUGGAGGAACACCGAUGGCGAAGGCAGCCCUGGU
Molecule: ribosomal RNA, 209 nt
Filed under: uncultured bacterium
Lineage: Bacteria
Description: partial 16S ribosomal RNA
Rfam family: Bacterial small subunit ribosomal RNA
Source: RNAcentral